AUGCUCCCAAAGGUUGACAGGGAAAGGGUGGCCAACUUCAUGUGCCACAACAUCCAGACGGCAGACAAAUAUUAUGCCAUGAAUUUAAAUCCAACCCAAGCAAAUGAAACCAGGGCACUCUUUGAGGCUGCACUGAAGGGGGAAGAUAACACAGUCGCCGCAGAGAACCAGCCCUCCACCUCAGGAGAAAGAAAGCAGAAGGUGAGAGAGGAUGCCUCCCUCUCCGACGGGAGCACCACCCCUGAAGAGACCAAGGUGAUGUACCAGGAGUCUGGCACGUCCGCCGGUGACUCGGAAGAGGAGGAAGAGGAUGAAGAUGAGGAACAGAUGGCCAGACAACUUCCAGAGACACCUUCCAAGGUGACCAAUCCUCAGGUGGAGAUGGAACUUACCCCAAAGAGGAAGCGGAGCAUCUGCACACGCCGCAUGGAGGUCGCCAUCAGCCCCAUGCUAGUCUCACCCCUCAAAGUGAGGCUCAAGUCGCCCCCCCCACCAGUCCCUCAUUGUCACAUUAAAAGGGAUGCAACAACUAAACUCAAAUAAAGUCAGACUAAAAAAUGCCAUUGCCUCAAGGAGGUUAAAGCUGCAGGAGAAGGUGCAAAAGAGAGGAGGGGACCCCUGAUGCAGCUCGAAGGAAGGGGAGCCGACCAACAACAAGACUUCCUCUUCCAAAUAGUCAUGUAGAUUGUUUUAGACUCUCACAUUUAUACUGUUCUGAUUUUGUUUGGUUUGAUUUUCAAUUUUGGUGUGCUUGUUUACAUUUUAGAAGUGUAAAAUGUGUGUAAUUUAGUCUAACUGUCUGUUCAAUUUUCUAUUUUGGUGUGAUUCUUUAUAAUGUAAAGGUUUGUUCUGUUUUAUUAAAUAACUAGUUUAGUAAUUAUUUGUGUUGUGCUUUCUUUAAGGUUAUAUUCUAACUGUCUGUUCAAUAUUCUAUUUUGGUGUGAUUCUUUAUAAUGUAAAGGUUUGUUCUGUUUUAUUAAAUAACUAGUUGAGUAAUUCUUUGUGUUGUGCUUUCUUUAAGGUUUAUAUUUAGUUUGUCACUUAAUUUGUAAGUGUUAAACAUUCACUGUCUUGUGUUGUUGUCUGUGAAGGUAGGAACAAAUAUUUAGGCAUUAUUGGCAUGGGAAUCAUAUGUUUACAUUGGCAAAGCAAAUUAAGUAGAUAAUAAACAAAAGUGAAAUAAACAAUAAAGUCCUGCUGUAGACUGUACUACUGCUGUUCAGGAAGCACAAUUUGAACUAGAAACUUACACAGACAGGCUGAAAUAAACACUAAAAAAUAACAAAUGGCAUCACCGUAAUAUCCCGCUUGACCGUAGCUCGCUCGAACUGAGCGCAGCGACCAUGAGAAAAGUAAGCCCAAAAUGAAGCCUGCCCCACAACGUCAUUUGCUUUUGGGUGACAGUGAGAGAACCGUUAGGUUUAGAAGGACAAUUCAACCACAGGAAUGUUCCUAACGUCCUUCCGAUCCAUGCAAGCCUUACCUUGACCGUGUGGCAUUAACCCUUAAAAAUAAAACAGGGUUUUUUGAUCUCACAGAUUACAAUGACAUCUCUCCCCAUAGGAAUACAUUGACAGCUCCCCUAAAUUCAACCUGGAGCCUAUGUGGGUUAAUAAUGCCUUAUGAACCUGUCUUCAAUGCCAAUCCAUCAGGCCACUAUGAGGUCUACCUGUGUCGAUUCUAAGCUUCCUGGAGCAACCGGAAGUGGUUAAAUUCACCCAAAAUGUAUUUUGAUGUACAUAACCUGCAAAUGUGAAAAUGACUGCAUUCAACCCUGGGUAGAUCAGUCAAUUCUUAACAUAAAGACUUUAGGAUUCUCAGGAUUCUGUAAGAGAAUACCCAAAGCAAGAUAUUUGUUUACCUAUAGCUUCCUGUGCCAACCGGAAGUGCCUUUAAUUGGUGUCUCAGGGGCUUCUCCUUAGGAGGGAUGGGGACACCACCACGGGAC
RNAcentral lists this long non-coding RNA (1948 nucleotides) under Oncorhynchus mykiss (rainbow trout). RNAcentral describes it as "lncRNA (ENSOMYG00000048183.1)". The record is from RNAcentral. Lineage: Eukaryota; Metazoa; Chordata; Actinopteri; Salmoniformes; Salmonidae.